CAAAACAGAGAUUGAUUUUGGUGUGUGUUUUUUUAUAAUUACCUGAAUCCUGUGUUUUAAUUGUUCAUUAUAUCUAAGGAUGGCGCCUUUAAGAAAAGUCUCAGAUCGACAAAUGGACAUUUUGUUGGAGUUCGUUGAAAGACAUAAAGAGCUUGCUGUUGGCCGGUACCCUCCCGGCCCACUAGGCAUACAAUCAGCACGUUGGCUAUGGGACAGUGCAGCAUUACAAUUAUAUGAAUUAUAUUCAAUUGGGUCUGGAGUUACAAAAACUGGUCAAAAAU
This is a non-coding RNA of Plutella xylostella (diamondback moth), 281 nucleotides long. NCBI's taxonomy places the organism in Eukaryota, Metazoa, Arthropoda, Insecta, Lepidoptera, Plutellidae. The record is from RefSeq and is a predicted model, not a curated record.